AUAGCUACAUUAGUUGCUGUUCUGUCGACAUUCUAACCUAAUUUCAUUUGUCAAAAUAUAUAUCAAUUGAAUGUAUUUACAAUAAGACCGCAAUGUGCACAAAAUAAGUCAGAUGGUGAUCAAUAGAUGUACGUUAAUUUUUACAUUGAUCAUUAUUAAUUCUAAAUCAUGAAUUUAAUAUGAUUUACUUAAUGAACUAGCUUGAAUCCUAAUUAAAUUGCUAGUGACAAUAUUAUAAUUAAUAUGAGAACUGGAAAAGCAACAGAAGCCACAGUUCUGUCAACGAUUUAACCAAAUUUUAUUUGUGAACUUAUUCAAAAAAUGACAGGAGUAAGAAUGGGAAAAAAUGAAUUCUUAAUCAAUGGAUAUUUGUUUUAAAUGUACGUCAAUUCGUACGUUGCCCACCAAAUUGACGGAAUUUCCACCGAUGGCGCAAGAAAGAUGAAUCGAAGAAAACGCAUUUGAAGAUUCUCUAAUUGUCGCAGUGAUAUGAAAGUGUUCAUUCAUAGAGUGUGAACACAUGCAAGUGCAAUUUAAAAAGAGAGAUUUUAUUUAUUUAUAAUAUAUUUUGACAAAUGAAAUUAGGUUAGAAUGUCGACAGAACAGCAACUAAUGUAGCUAUUUAGGUUCUCAUCUUAAUAUCCUUGCUACGAUUAAUUUAAUUAGCACGCAAAUUAGUUCAUUAAUUUAAAUAUAAUAAAUUAAUGAUGUAAGAAUAAUAAUUAAUUUUAUUAUUUACGUCGACUGUUUUUUUUAAAGACACGACAAGUUUUUUAAAUGUGUUUAUGUUCUAGUUCGCAUGCGUACUGAGAUACGCGCGACUUAUUCUCGCGGGAAAUAGAUUAAAUUUAAAGUUGUACUGUAAAAAAGGAUGAAUGAAAAUUAUCAGUGGAUUUCAACGAUGAAAACUCUCUUUCUGAUGUCUUGACUGGAAGGAAGGAUGGAAGCAAACAACACUGACCUACCUCGACGGACUGCUAGCUGUCAUCCUACCAGCUGAUCAUCUGGCAUCGUUCGGCAGGGAAAUAAAGUUAUUUCCCUGUUGAGGUUUAGAUAUAAUUUGGAUUUACUUGUUUCCAUAUCAUUUAUGACGUGUCUAAUCUAGAGUCCAAUGGAAUCUAUUGACAUGACUGGCCUACCAGGACCAGAAUAAUUUUGAGGACACUGAUGUUGCUGAACAUCAAGGACAAGGUGAUGCAGAUCCAAGGACACACCGCCGCUUUAAUUUUUUUUUUUUCUGUUUCAGAUCCAGUCAACGAGAAUGAGGAUAUCCAUGGGUGCCAAGGAAUGCCGAGACCAGGAGAAGGAGGACCAGGACCAAGAAGAAGACCAAUUAUUUAUUUAAUUAAUUUAAUUAUUUAUUUAUUAUUUAUUUGUAUUUUUUAUAUUUAUUCAUUUAAUUUUAGCUGACUUGUAAUUAGUUUUAAAUAAUUAUUUUGUUAAGGUGUGAGUGUGAUGGAUGCUGUACGAGUGAUUUAUAAUUUAUGAAUUUAAUUUAUAUUUUUAUUUUAUAUGAAUGAGUACGAGUGGCAUGUUUUUAUUGCAUGGCUUGUGCUUGCUUGUUUUUUUUUUUAUUUUUUUCGGGUUUGAUCGCAUGGUUUGGAUUGUUUAUAUUUAAUUUAAUUUUAUUCCUUAUUUUUCCCUUCCCUUUUAUUUUUAAGUGUGUUUUUUUUAUUCGGGUUUUGAUCGCAUGGUUUGGUUUGCUUCUAUUUAAUUUUAUUUUCCCUUUUUUUUAUUCCCAUUCCCGCUUAAUUUUAAGUCUUUUUUAUUAUUAUUUAAUUUAAAUUUAAGAGUGUGAUCAGUGUGUGUGUGAUUUUGUUUAUUGGGAUUUCCAGGCACGGAUACUAAUAGUAAGUUUUAAUUUUAUGAAAUUUUUAUUUAAUUUUAUAUUUAUAUAUAUUGAAUUGUAUAUUUUAUGUAUUUAUUUUAUAAUUGUUUAAUGUAUAAUAUUUUGUAUUUGUAUUUAGUUUUAUUUAGCUUUUUUUUGGUCACCAAUCGAGUGAUCACUGUGUUGGUCGGGUUUUUUCACUGAUAAAAACCUCCGAUUUAAACCGAUAGAUUCCGGGUCUAUCGGAUUUUUAUCGGAGUAUUUUAUCGGUGUCGAGGUUUCCCAAACGGGCUAUUUUCUUUCUUCCAAAAGAAAAUAGCCUAGACCAGUACAAUUGUAUUUCUAAACAAAUACAAUUGUAGGUGAAUGCGCACAGUAUAGGAAGUCGGU
Long non-coding RNA from Microplitis demolitor, 2218 nucleotides. RefSeq lists it as uncharacterized. The record is from RefSeq and is a predicted model, not a curated record. NCBI's taxonomy places the organism in Eukaryota, Metazoa, Arthropoda, Insecta, Hymenoptera, Braconidae. The transcript is spliced from 7 exons.